Molecule: non-coding RNA, 70 nt
Organism: Xylaria sp. FL1042
Lineage: Eukaryota; Fungi; Ascomycota; Sordariomycetes; Xylariales; Xylariaceae
Source: the annotation of a GenBank genome assembly
GGCAGCGUGGCUGAGUGGUUAAAGUGUAUGAAUAUAUUCCUAGUCAUAGGUUCGAGUUCUAUCGUGGUCA